This is a non-coding RNA of Dermacentor albipictus, 918 nucleotides long. NCBI's taxonomy places the organism in Eukaryota, Metazoa, Arthropoda, Arachnida, Ixodida, Ixodidae. The record is from RefSeq and is a predicted model, not a curated record.
CCGCACUAUUAUACAGACGGCGCUGGCGGCGCCGGUAUUUUCGUAUUCAACGCGACAGGUAGAAUACGAAGCUACGGCGUGUUGUUAUUGCUCCGUCUUCAACGGUUGUCGUGCGAGCUGCGUCGAUGUGUUUGUUUGAUCGUGUGUUAUUAGGUUUGCUGUAAUGAAAUGAGACGUAGUUCGCGAGCACGAAAGUGCCAGAAGAUGGCUUGAGUCUCGCUGUAAGCACGCCGUAUGCGUGGCGCGCCAGCUAAAUGUGGACCAACGAUUUUCAUGCCAUGGAGUGCGUUCCCUUUGUCUCCGCUUGUGUUCGUGGAAAGUUUGGUGGACGGCGCAAAGAAGUAAUGCGUAUUAUUAGCGCGCCUCAGCUCGUCCACUACCCAGUGGCUUGUUUGCUGCAAGUAACAUCGCAGACGCAUCACUGGAAACUUGGAGAGUGCCUUUCGACCUCGUCGUACUGUUGAAACGUGGCGAGGCCGUGACCCACAACAUAAACUACAAGAUCGAGGAGCCCCAAGAAAUGCAGACCCUGUGGAUAUAUGGCUGCAGCAGCAUGGCGUGUGAUCUGGAUGGUCAUGACAGGCUCCACCGUCGCCGUUACUAGACGGACCAAAUGAGGCCAAAAACUAGCCUUUCCUCGCUCCAUUCCUGGGAAGUGAAAUAGCAGGUGAUCAUGUAAGAAUGAACUUGCAACCAUGUGGGCAGUAGCCAAAGCUCCCUACAGUUCAUGCUGGUGGUGGAAUGAUAAGACAAACCGCAAUAUUUAUUAGUUUACUUAUUCACUUAAUAUUUAUUUAUUCAUAUCUCAUGAAUACUGUGCAGUUUUUUUAGCAAGGAGUGAGGUAAAAUAAAGAAAUAUUGUUGCAUCAAAGUAAACGUUAUUUGAAAAAGCAUAAUUCCCGUAGCACGAAUUCAUGU